GGCGGCGCAGCGGCGGCGCUGCGGAGCCCGAGUCCAGACGCCAGGCGGCCGCCGGCGCGCACGGCGCUUGCCAGCUCCCUCCCCCGAGUGCGCAGCCCGCCUCCUUCCGCGGUGCCUGCAGCGGCGGGCUUGCUCUCCCGUCCCGAGCGCACUCCGGGAGCUGCUCUGCGAGUGGCGCACGCAGAGUCCGCGACUUGGGGAUCGUGAGGCCGCGGCAUUCCGCCCGCGGUUACCAGCCCGCGAGCCAGAGCCCCAUGCGCACUCCUUUCGCCCGGGCAGUCGCCGUUGCUCCCUGGGGCUGAGACGUCCGCCCCGUCGCCUCCCCGCCCGGUGGCCGCGGCGAGAACCCAGCUGGUUGUGCCCUGUGGCCGGUCGCCACUGCUGAGUGGAAGCAAAAUGUCCGUCAGCGUACACGAGAACCGCAAGUCCAGGGCCAGCAGUGGCUCUAUUAACAUCUAUCUAUUCCACAAGUCCUCCUAUGCGGACAGUGUCCUCACUCACCUGAACCUGUUACGCCAGCAGCGUCUCUUCACCGACGUCCUUCUCCAUGCUGGAAACAGGACCUUCCCUUGUCACCGGGCAGUGCUGGCCGCGUGCAGCCGCUACUUCGAAGCCAUGUUCAGCGGCGGCCUGAAAGAGAGCCAGGACAGCGAAGUCAACUUCGACAACUCCAUCCAUCCGGAAGUCUUGGAGCUGCUCCUCGACUACGCGUACUCCUCCCGGGUCAUCAUCAAUGAAGAAAACGCGGAAUCGCUCCUGGAAGCUGGUGACAUGCUGGAGUUUCAGGACAUUCGCGAUGCUUGUGCCGAGUUCCUGGAGAAGAACCUGCACCCCACCAACUGCCUGGGCAUGCUGUUGCUGUCUGACGCACACCAGUGCACCAAGCUGUACGAGCUCUCCUGGAGGAUGUGUCUCAGCAACUUCCAGACCAUCAGGAAGAACGAAGAUUUCCUCCAGCUGCCCCAGGACAUGGUCGUGCAGCUCCUGUCCAGUGAAGAGCUGGAGACCGAAGACGAAAGGCUUGUGUACGAGUCUGCAAUUAACUGGAUCAGCUACGACCUGAAGAAGCGCUACUGCUACCUCCCAGAGCUGUUGCAGACGGUGAGGCUGGCUCUGCUGCCGGCCAUCUAUCUCAUGGAGAACGUGGCCAUGGAGGAACUCAUUACUAAGCAGAGGAAGAGCAAGGAGAUCGUGGAAGAGGCCAUCAGAUGCAAACUGAAAAUCCUGCAGAACGACGGCGUGGUAACCAGCCUCUGUGCCCGGCCCCGGAAAACCGGCCAUGCCCUCUUCCUCUUGGGAGGACAGACUUUCAUGUGUGACAAGCUGUAUUUGGUCGACCAGAAGGCCAAAGAGAUCAUUCCCAAGGCUGACAUCCCCAGCCCGAGAAAAGAGUUCAGUGCAUGUGCAAUUGGCUGCAAAGUAUACAUUACUGGGGGGCGAGGCUCUGAGAACGGAGUCUCGAAAGAUGUCUGGGUUUAUGAUACCCUGCAUGAGGAGUGGUCCAAGGCGGCCCCCAUGCUGGUGGCCAGGUUUGGCCAUGGCUCUGCUGAGCUGAAGCACUGCCUGUAUGUGGUUGGGGGGCACACCGCCGCCACUGGCUGCCUCCCGGCCUCCCCCUCAGUCUCUCUAAAGCAAGUAGAACAUUAUGACCCCACAACCAACAAAUGGACCAUGGUGGCCCCCCUCCGAGAAGGGGUCAGCAAUGCCGCAGUGGUGAGUGCCAAGCUCAAGCUGUUUGCUUUCGGAGGUACCAGCGUGAGUCAUGACAAGCUCCCCAAGGUUCAGUGUUACGAUCAAUGUGAAAAUAGGUGGACGGUCCCGGCCACCUGUCCCCAGCCGUGGCGUUACACGGCGGCAGCUGUGCUGGGUAACCAGAUUUUUAUUAUGGGGGGAGAUACCGAGUUCUCCGCCUGCUCUGCUUAUAAGUUCAAUAGUGAGACUUACCAGUGGACCAAGGUGGGAGACGUAACGGCAAAGCGCAUGAGCUGUCACGCUGUGGCCUCCGGAAACAAACUCUACGUGGUCGGAGGGUACUUUGGCAUCCAGCGAUGCAAAACUCUGGACUGCUAUGAUCCCACGCUGGAUGCGUGGAACAGCGUAACCACAGUCCCCUACUCGCUGAUCCCUACUGCCUUUGUCAGCACCUGGAAACAUCUGCCCUCUUAAACGCCACGCAUCUAAAGAGAGUAAGCGCGAGGUAAGCGUCAGUUGAGCUGUAAGUAUCCGUAUAGUUGAGCUAGCUGUGUAAGCGCGUAUGUAGAGUGAAACAGAUUCCGUACGGCCCAUCCUCUAGAAGUACUACACGAACGACGAAUAAAAGCCCUUGCACCCUGGAACUUAAACACGUGUGUUGACCACAGCUGCAACCCCUCAAAACCUGACUCCAUGCCUCGAUGAGACAAGAUGAGAUUUCUGCUUUGGCGAGGCCAAACUGAAUGAAGAGAAGGAAAAGAAAAAGGAAAAGAGGUUGCUACAAUCCAAUCCACCGCACCUUGUAAAUGCUUCUAACUGGACAUGAAGGAAGGGGUGGGGGAGGGGGUGGGGUUUCCAGUGCAAGUAGCACAUGGUUUAAAUAUGAAUGAACGAACCUGUGAUCUAGUCCUUGUCUUGUAAUUGUGGAUUAAUGUCCGCGUUAAUCAGCCCCUCAAAGGGAGAGGAAAGCCGGCCCUUUUCCCUUGCUGUACCAUAUUCAGCAUUUGAUUUCCACGGGCUCCACCAUUUAUGUGUAAAAUUUGAAAUGGCUGUCACCUCUCUCUGAGGAGCAAGCGUGAAGCCUCCACACCAGCUGCUGUUGGAGAGUGAAAGCCCGACUGUGAGGCCUGGAGGGAAGCUGGCUGGGCUGGCUACAGAGUGAGGACCACUGGACUCCACGCGAAUCUCCGAGGGGCUGCGCUCCCCAGGAACGUUUCUGAACAAUGGGGACAUUGUUGGUAGCUGUUUGGUAGAUGUUCUUUUCUAUUUAUAAGUGACUUUAAACUUUCCCUUGGCUGGUAAGAAAUUUGUUGUAGAUUUAGCUAUUUAUUGUUUAAGGCCUGCAUGUGGAAACAAUGCUUACAGUUCUCUUCACGUGUACGGACGCGUGUGAAUGGUUGUACGUUUUGCACAAUUUUGUGGCUGUUGUGUUGUGCUCUGCUGCACAGAAGUGAAAACUUUGGAGUUACAAUUAGGAGUAUAACUGGAGGGUGGGAUGGGAAGGGUGGGGGGGAUUUUGUAAAUGUCAAGACAGGGAAGGAUUAUAAGACGGAGACAAGUUACAUCCUAGAGGUAGAGAAAGCAGGAAGGUCAUUUUUCUUAGACUUACCAACUUUGAAUGGGGUUUCGUGGGCUCUGGUCCUGCUGAUGGCUCCCAGGGCAAGGGAAGGCUUCUUUCUGCCCUUCUCCUUCCUGUCCGAUUCACUUGCUUCAAUCUCAGCUGCUGAAAUGUAGAAAGGACCAAAUCACUUGGCAGGUUUUUUUUUUUUUUUUU
RNA transcript from Hippopotamus amphibius kiboko, 3466 nucleotides. It is a transcript of the gene named ectodermal-neural cortex 1, with no coding region annotated. The transcript is spliced from 3 exons. NCBI's taxonomy places the organism in Eukaryota, Metazoa, Chordata, Mammalia, Artiodactyla, Hippopotamidae. The record is from RefSeq and is a predicted model, not a curated record.